ACGGGUGAGUAAUGCCUAGGAAUCUGCCUGGUAGUGGGGGAUAACGUUCGGAAACGAACGCUAAUACCGCAUACGUCCUACGGGAGAAAGCAGGGGACCUUCGGGCCUUGCGCUAUCAGAUGAGCCUAGGUCGGAUUAGCUAGUUGGUGAGGUAAUGGCUCACCAAGGCGACGAUCCGUAACUGGUCUGAGAGGAUGAUCAGUCACACUGGAACUGAGACACGGUCCAGACUCCUACGGGAGGCAGCAGUGGGGAAUAUUGGACAAUGGGCGAAAGCCUGAUCCAGCCAUGCCGCGUGUGUGAAGAAGGUCUUCGGAUUGUAAAGCACUUUAAGUUGGGAGGAAGGGCAUUAACCUAAUACGUUAGUGUUUUGACGUUACCGACAGAAUAAGCACCGGCUAACUCUGUGCCAGCAGCCGCGGUAAUACAGAGGGUGCAAGCGUUAAUCGGAAUUACUGGGCGUAAAGCGCGCGUAGGUGGUUUGUUAAGUUGGAUGUGAAAUCCCCGGGCUCAACCUGGGAACUGCAUUCAAAACUGACUGACUAGAGUAUGGUAGAGGGUGGUGGAAUUUCCUGUGUAGCGGUG
Molecule: ribosomal RNA, 585 nt
Filed under: Pseudomonas sp. StFLB110
Lineage: Bacteria; Pseudomonadati; Pseudomonadota; Gammaproteobacteria; Pseudomonadales; Pseudomonadaceae
Also listed under: 4 other names
Description: bacterial SSU rRNA
Rfam family: Bacterial small subunit ribosomal RNA
Source: RNAcentral